Molecule: long non-coding RNA, 375 nt
Organism: Herpailurus yagouaroundi (jaguarundi)
Lineage: Eukaryota; Metazoa; Chordata; Mammalia; Carnivora; Felidae
Exons: 3
Source: RefSeq, a predicted model, not a curated record
GUUUUCCAGCUUUUCUCUUCUACUCAUUUUUAGUUUCAUACCAUUGUGGUCAGAAAAGAUACUUUAUAUAAUCUUUUUUUGUCUUCUUGAAAAUGUUGAGACUUGUUUGGGGACUUAACAUAUGAUCUAUCCUAGAAAAUGUCCCAUGUACGUUUGGGAAGAAUGUGUAUUCUGCUAUUAUUGGGUGGAAUGUUCUGUAUGUGUCUGUUAGAUACAUUUGGUCUGUAGUGCUGUUUAAAUCUGCAGUUUCCUUAUUGAUUCUCUGUCUGGAUGAUUUAUCCAUUGUUGAGAGUGGGGUAUUAAAGCUCCCACUAUUGUUGUGUUGCUGUUUAUUUCUCCUUUUACUUCUCUUAGUUUUUCCUUUAUGGAUUAAAU